Molecule: ribosomal RNA, 253 nt
Filed under: uncultured bacterium
Lineage: Bacteria
Description: partial 16S ribosomal RNA
Rfam family: Bacterial small subunit ribosomal RNA
Source: RNAcentral
UACGGGGGGGGCAAGCGUUGUUCGGAAUUACUGGGCGUAAAGGGCUCGUAGGCGGCCAACUAAGUCAGACGUGAAAUCCCUCGGCUUAACCGGGGAACUGCGUCUGAUACUGGAUGGCUUGAGAUUGGGAGAGGGAUGCGGAAUUCCAGGUGUAGCGGUGAAAUGCGUAGAUAUCGAGAGGAACACCAGUGGCGAAGGCGGAUCUCUGGGCCAUUACUGACGCUGAGGAGCGAAAGCGUGGGGAGCGAACAGG